CUCCUGGUACAGGCAGAAACGGCCAGGUGGGGGGGGGUGCUAGCCCAAUCGGCGGGACCAGAAAGCUCCAACUCGUACUCCGGAGGAUCUCCAUACUGAACCUUUAUCAGUAGAAGUUCAUUCAGAGUCAGAGCACAGGGAAUGACGUCCGACGCAAAAAUUGGAUGAGACCCAGCCCUAGAUAUGGGUUCGUCUACAGUAUGAGGGUUCUGAGGGACUGAGGCAGACGAACUCCCGGAACUGCUAGAGAUGGAGGUACCAGAAGACAUUUCAAGUAAGAACCCUAAAAAUCCCGGAGAGACCAGGCAAAAUAAGAGGUGAAAGGUUCGUGGGGGACCAAACAAGUGGAAUGCGGUAGAAGAAAAAUGGAGAAGAAGGAGCACCUAGAUG
RNAcentral lists this long non-coding RNA (390 nucleotides) under Elaeis guineensis (African oil palm). Its description in RNAcentral is "long non-coding RNA (EGUI_LNC058778)". The record is from RNAcentral. Lineage: Eukaryota; Viridiplantae; Streptophyta; Magnoliopsida; Arecales; Arecaceae.